Homo sapiens (human) is the source of this 560-nucleotide long non-coding RNA. Lineage: Eukaryota; Metazoa; Chordata; Mammalia; Primates; Hominidae. The record is from Ensembl.
GGCGGUUGGGACGCAGAAUUUACACGACGAAUGUGGGAGAAAGAGGCGGAGCGUGCGUCGGACGUUAGUAGAAAGAUGGGAGCGGAGAGACGUUGGGACGCCAAAAGUGGAAGGCAACGACACACGGCCCGUGGCGCCUUCAGCUAGGGAGAAAGAGAGAGAGGACGGGGGCUGGCGGGCGGGAUUAGCUGCCGGAGGGCUGAGUUUCCGCAGGCCUGGUAAGAGUUCCAGCUCUCGCAUCCCUUUGCCGUGAGUUUGAGGAGGUGGUUGGAGCGGGGAAAUGCACCAGAGGGGCGGGGCCUUCCAGUUAUUAUAUUACGUCAUGCAAAUGAGGUGGCUAGACAGACCAAUCCAAAGGCCCCGGGAAGCGUUUCGUCCGCACCACGCAGCGUAGGCAUUCUUCGGGCAGUUCUACCUAUUUGCAUAAUGUAUGCAAAUCAUUUGAACAAAGAUAGGCUAGGAAUGACUCGUUCAUCAAAAUAUGGGCAACCAUCGACUAAGACGGACAUUUAAUUUUAUAACCUAUAAUUUUCAUGAAUAAAUUUUUAUAUUUGAAAUUA